UUACAACGGCAGCAAAGGUGAAUGGAGGGGGAGGGGGAGGGGGCAAAGGCACCGGCGGGAAGCCCGACUACCUCGCCGUCGUCCAUCGAUCUAAAGGUCCUUAAGAGAGAAUAUACAAGGAGUUAGGGAGAAUCUGCACGAAGAAGAUGAAGAUGAUGGCCAACUCUGAUUCCCGUGGUACAUAUCCAUGGAGACAAGUGGGAAUAUGUAACUGUGUGGAAAUCAACAAUUAGGCUGAGCUUGUGUGUGUGUAUUAUAAGUUCGAUCUGUAAAUAGAAAGAGAGAAGGCCUUGUGAGUAGUAAUAUGGAUGUGGAAAAUAUCUGAUAUUUGUUGAUGGUGAAGGAACCUUCGCAAGUGUUCGUUAUAUAUUCAUCCUUCCCAUAUGACAAUGGGGCCUAACUCUUCUUCUGCCUUUUUAUCCACAGUCCAGCUUUGAGAUGUCCUUUUUAAAAGGUUCUUCUUAUGACUACUAGGGAGCGGCCUGCAUCAUCCGGCCGAGCGAUGUGCCAAUGCACUUGCAUUUCCUCGGGCACACCACGUGGAACCACACCAUCCAAGUUCUAUUCUCUUUUUCUUCCCUCUGGUUAUGCCUAAGUAGAUAUUGUACAAGCAGAUUGUUGACUGAGACGCGCUAAUAUAUGGGCGCCUUUCCCUUUUUUUUUUUUUUUUUCAACGAUGUGACGAAGUGGGUGUUGACUGAUUGUAAUAUUUGUAUUUCUUUU
Diospyros lotus (date-plum) is the source of this 723-nucleotide long non-coding RNA. RefSeq lists it as uncharacterized. The transcript is spliced from 2 exons. The record is from RefSeq and is a predicted model, not a curated record. NCBI's taxonomy places the organism in Eukaryota, Viridiplantae, Streptophyta, Magnoliopsida, Ericales, Ebenaceae.